AACGUAGGUGGCAAGCGUUAUCCGGAUUUACUGGGCGUAAAGGGCGCGUAGGCGGCCCGCUAAGUCGAACGUGAAAUCCCCGAGCUCAACUCGGGAACUGCGUCCGAUACUGGCGGGCUUGAAUCCGGGAGAGGGAUGCGGAAUUCCAGGUGUAGCGGUGAAAUGCGUAGAUAUCUGGAGGAACACCGGUGGCGAAGGCGGCAUCCUGGACCGGCAUUGACGCUGAGGCGCGAAAGCGUGGGGAGCAAACAGG
This 253-nucleotide ribosomal RNA is filed under the name uncultured bacterium. RNAcentral describes it as "partial 16S ribosomal RNA". It matches the Rfam family "Bacterial small subunit ribosomal RNA", at positions 524 to 776 of the family's 1533-position model. The record is from RNAcentral.